Amphiprion ocellaris (clown anemonefish) is the source of this 1002-nucleotide long non-coding RNA. The record is from Ensembl. NCBI's taxonomy places the organism in Eukaryota, Metazoa, Chordata, Actinopteri, Pomacentridae.
CUGUGUUUCUGUGUGGUUGAGGCAGAUACACUGUGUGGUAGGAAUUUAAAGGAGUUAAAAACUGAUACAGCAACAUUUCAUUACAGAGAGAAAAACUCCCAUAAUCUCCGUUCAGAGGCAGAUAGUGGAGGGGGACAUUUUUCAGGCCAACUGCAGCAUUAACUACUCCUGUCCUUCCUCACCUCCAUCCAUCCACUGGAAGAAAAGCUCAUCUCUGGAAAGCUCCACUUUCACCAGGGAAGUGCAAGGCCAGUGGUUAUAUAGAGAAACAAUGCACGGACUGGCAACAAAUGAAAUCCAUAACGGCAAACUGAGUUUUUCUGCACAGUUCAGAACCUUCACCACACAAAGUCAAGAAAUUACACUCAACAUUUUAUAUAAACCUGUUGCUGUAAGUCUGAAACUGGAAAACAAACCAGUGACAGAGGGUGGCAGCUCUGGUUAACUCCAAAGCUCAGCACAAGCAGCUGGUGGAGGAUCUCUGUCGCUCCUCCUUCACCCCAGCAGGUGGAGGCAUUUGGCCGCCCUCCCUGAGCCUGGUUCUGCUGGAGAUGUUGGCUCAUGGCAACUCGGCUGAUUUCACCUGUGAGAUGACUGUUGGAGUUUUGGCGAUUCUUCAGAGCCCUGAAAAAUACAGAAGAACAUGCAGCAUCAGUGUUGUAUUUGAUUUGCAUUUGUUCUUUCUCACUGCGCUUGUUUUUCCACAGGAUGAAACCACAGAGAAAGCAAGAGUAUAGGAAAGGUCAGCCUCUUCUACAAAAGCUGGUCCAUGCUAGGUGAUGGUCAGCGAACAGCAAUAAAAGAUAUGUAGCAAAUGAAAUACAAAUCUCUCAAAGGGCCAAGGCAUGUGGAUUGAAAAAAGUGAAUUCUCCAAAAUCAUUAAAUGUCCUAACAGAAAACAAUUUCAAAUUUUUAGACUAACAAAGAAAUUCAUUCUGGAUGUGAUACACUGCCAAGAAAAACAAUUCACCACACUUCCAUGUCUCCCCUUUCAUUGCUUUU